RNAcentral lists this unclassified non-coding RNA (520 nucleotides) under uncultured Paraglomus. RNAcentral's name for it is "SSU rRNA". It matches the Rfam family "Eukaryotic small subunit ribosomal RNA", at positions 569 to 1096 of the family's 1831-position model. The record is from RNAcentral. Lineage: Eukaryota; Fungi; Glomeromycota; Glomeromycetes; Paraglomerales; Paraglomeraceae.
AGCAGCCGCGGUAAUUCCAGCUCCGAUAGCGUAUAUUAAAGUUGUUGUGGUUAAAAAGCUCGUAGUAGAACCUUGGGCCUGGCUGGCCGGUCCGCCUCACCGCGUGCACUGGUCCGGCCGGGCCUUUCCCUCUGUGGAACCGCAUGCCCUUCACUGGGUGUGCCGGGGAAACAGGACUUUUACUUUGAAAAAUUAGAGUGCUCCAGGCAGGCCUAUGCUCGAAUACAUUAGCAUGGAAUAAUAGAAUAGGACGUGUGGUUCUAUUUUGUUGGUUUCUAGGACCGCCGUAAUGAUUAAUAGGGACAGUCGGGGGCAUCAGUAUUCAAUUGUCAGAGGUGAAAUUCUUGGAUUUAUUGAAGACUAACUACUGCGAAAGCAUUUGCCAAGGAUGUUUUCAUUUAUCAGGAACGAAAGUUAGGGGAUCGAAGACGAUCAGAUACCGUCGUAGUCUUAACCAUAAACUAUGCCGACUAGGGAUCGGACGAUGUUAUUUUUUGACUCGUUCGGCACCUUACGGGAA